GAUGAAGAACGCAGCGAAAUGCGAUAAGUAAUGUGAAUUGCAGAAUUCAGUGAACCAUCGAAUCUUUGAACGCACAUUGCGCCCGGCAGUAAUCUGCCGGGCAUGCCUGUCCGAGCGUCAUUUCUGCCCUCGAGCGAGUCCAGCAUCUAGGUGCUGGGCCCGCCCGGCGUUGGGGCACUACGGGAAGCCCUGUGCUGUCCCCCGUAGGCCCCGAAAUGAAGUGGCGGUCCUGCCGCGGCGCCCCCUGCGUAGUAUAACAGCUCGCUCCGGGACCCGGUGGAGGCCUGCCGUCAAACCUUACUCUCUAAGUUUGACCUCGGAUCAGGUAGGGUUACCCGCUGAACUUAAGCAUAUCAAUAAGCGGAGGA
Molecule: unclassified non-coding RNA, 368 nt
Filed under: soil metagenome
Description: partial contains 5.8S ribosomal RNA, internal transcribed spacer 2, and large subunit ribosomal RNA
Rfam family: 5.8S ribosomal RNA (bases 1-120)
Source: RNAcentral